This 253-nucleotide ribosomal RNA is filed under the name uncultured bacterium. RNAcentral's name for it is "partial 16S ribosomal RNA". It matches the Rfam family "Bacterial small subunit ribosomal RNA", at positions 524 to 776 of the family's 1533-position model. RNAcentral also lists the same sequence under 1 other name. The record is from RNAcentral.
UACGAAGGGGGCUAGCGUUGUUCGGAAUUACUGGGCGUAAAGCGCACGUAGGCGGAUUGAUCAGUCAGGGGUGAAAUCCCAGAGCUCAACUCUGGAACUGCCUUUGAUACUGUCAAUCUAGAGUCCAGAAGAGGUGAGUGGAAUUCCGAGUGUAGAGGUGAAAUUCGUAGAUAUUCGGAGGAACACCAGUGGCGAAGGCGGCUCACUGGUCUGGUACUGACGCUGAGGUGCGAAAGCGUGGGGAGCAAACAGG